Molecule: non-coding RNA, 158 nt
Filed under: bovine gut metagenome
Source: RNAcentral
AAGUGGUUCUCCCCCUGCGGGAGAUUAAAACGGGAACCGUGUGUGAAUCACGGGCUGUCGCGCAACUGUAAGUCCUCAAAGGCUUGUGCAACAAUGUCACUGAUAUUCGUUAUCGGGAAGGCGCACAAGUGGGACAAGCCAGGAGACCUGCCUCUUUC